GAACAACUGACAGUUUCAUACAUAUCAGAAAGACUUUGAUCAGACAUCAGUUCAUUGCAGAGUUUGAUGGGAAAUAUGAUUGUCUGGUGUUUAUUUUUUGUAUUUGCUAUUAAUGGAGUUUGGAGUGAGAUCAAACUGGACCAGUCUCCCUCUGAGGUGAAAAGACCUGGAGAGACAGUGAAGAUGUCAUUUAUCAUAUCUGGUUAUAGCAUGACAAGCAAGAAUAUUCACUGGAUCCGACAGAGACCAGAAGAAGCUCUGGAGUGGAUUGGGAGAAUAAGCCCAUAUAGAAACACUCCGAGCUAUGCCAGCUCCUUUCAGAGCCGUUUCAGUUUUACUCAAGAUGUUCCCAGCAGCACUCAGUACCUCGAGGUCCAGAGCCUGACAGCAGCAGAUUCUGCCGUUUACUUCUGUGCUCGACAGACACAGUGACUGAAGACAGUGGAGCAGCUGCACAAAAACCUCCACAGAUAUGUAUAGUGAUCAUAAUAACAUCUGGGUUUUCUAAUCACAUGUGUUUAUAUUUUAGACAAAUUAAAUAUAUUAUAACACA
Molecule: non-coding RNA, 553 nt
Organism: Perca fluviatilis (European perch)
Lineage: Eukaryota; Metazoa; Chordata; Actinopteri; Perciformes; Percidae
Source: the annotation of a RefSeq genome assembly